GGAGUCUAGCAUGUGCGCGAGUCAUUGGGACUCUGAAACUAAACCUAAAGGCGAAAUGAAAGUGAAGGCGCGCCUCAAGCGCGCGCCGAGGGAGGAUGAGCGCGUCGUCCGAAAGGCCGUGCGCGCUCCGCACUCCCGGGGCGUCUCGUUCUCAUCGCGAGAUGAGGCGCACCCAGAGCGUACACGCUGGGACCCGAAAGAUGGUGAACUAUGCCUGGUCAGGACGAAGUCAGGGGAAACCCUGAUGGAGGUCCGUAGCGAUUCUGACGUGCAAAUCGAUCGUCGGAACUGGGUAUAGGGGCGAAAGACUAAUCGAACCAUCUAGUAGCUGGUUCCCUCCGAAGUUUCCCUCAGGAUAGCUGGCGCUCGUCGAGCGCGAGUCUCAUCCGGUAAAGCGAAUGAUUAGAGGCAUUGGGGUCGAAACGGCCUCAACCUAUUCUCAAACUUUAAAUGGGUGAGAUCUCCGGCUUGCUUGAAGCAUGAAGCCGCGAGAUCGGAUCUAGAGUGCCAAGUGGGCCACUUUUGGUAAGCAGAACUGGCGCUGUGGGAUGAACCAAACGCGGAGUUAAAGCGCCUAAAUCGACGCUUAUGGGAUACCAUGAAAGGCGUUGGUAACUUAAGACAGCAGGACGGUGGCCAUGGAA
Molecule: ribosomal RNA, 644 nt
Filed under: Phengodidae sp. UPOL RK0361
Lineage: Eukaryota; Metazoa; Arthropoda; Insecta; Coleoptera; Phengodidae
Description: eukaryotic LSU rRNA
Rfam family: Eukaryotic large subunit ribosomal RNA
Source: RNAcentral